Molecule: long non-coding RNA, 494 nt
Organism: Bradysia coprophila
Lineage: Eukaryota; Metazoa; Arthropoda; Insecta; Diptera; Sciaridae
Source: RefSeq, a predicted model, not a curated record
UAGGAUGCUCUAACCGGAAAUGAGUAUUAAAAAUCAUUGUUGGAUUCACGAUUAUUGUUGGCGUAUUAUGACGAAAACCGCCGAAGCCAAAUAUGGUGAUGAUUGUAGCAGACGAUCUAGGUUUCGAUGAUAUCAGCUUCCAUGGGUCCGAUCGAAUACCCACACCCAAUAUCGAUGCAUUGGUCGCUUACGGUAUCCACUUGAAUCGAUAUUAUGUCGCACCCAUGUGUUCCCCAUCGAGGUCAUCAUUGAUGACUGGAAAAUAUGCGUUCAAUAUAGGAAUGCAGAGAUUUGUUAUAACUCCUACACAACCGUUUGGCUUAGGGCUGUGGGAGAAAAUAUUGCCUGAAUAUUUGAAGGAGGCAGGAUAUGCUACACAUGUAGUAGGCAAAUGGCAUCUCGGUUUUUACAAGAAGGAAUACACCCCAACGUUUAGAGGUUUCGAUUCGCAUAUCGGAUAUUUCAAGGGAAUGAUCGACUUCUGCAAUCACAGU